CGGAGGAGCAGAGCACCGGGAGGCCCAGGGAUGUGGCGAGGCAGCCGCGGUGUCAGAAAGAGGAAGGCAGGAGGCUGAGGCUGAGGGCCCUGGAAUCUCGCACAUUCCAGGGUUCAGAAAGAUCACGGUGGGGUCCACCUGUGGAGUCCACAAAAGAAAAUGUACAAUGUGGCCACAGGCCUGCUUUUCCAAACUCGUCAUGGUUACCAUUUCAUGAACGGCUUCAAGUCCAGAAUGGUGAGUGCCCGUGGCAAGUGAGUAUCCAGAUGUCACGGAAACACCUCUGUGGAGGCUCAAUCAUACAUUGGUGGUGGGUUCUGACAGCCGCACGUUGCUUCCCAAGAACCCCAUUAGACAUGGCCGUGGUAAAUGUCACUGUGGUCAUGGGAACGAGAACAUUCAGCAACAUCCACUCGGAGAGAAAGCAAGUGCAGAAGGUCAUUAUUCACAAAGAUUACAAACUGCCCCAGCUCGACAGUGACCUCUCUCUGCUUCUACUUGCCACACCAGUGCAAUUCAGCAAUUUCAAAAUGCCUGUCUGCCUGCAGGAGGAGGAGAGGACCUGGGACUGGUGUUGGAUGGCAGAGUGGGUAACGACCAAUGGGUAUGAGUAGAAUCCUGUUUCCUUCUGAAGCCCUUCCUAAUUGAUAUACUUAGGGCCAUCUUCCUUAACACCCCAGACCUGCUGGUUUCGGAGCCAUCGACCUCCUCAUUUCCACCGCAGAGGGCUGGAGGAGAUUCAGAAAAUCAGGGCAGGGCCCAGGAGAAGGUUCUUUCAGAGCAUGGCUUCAGCCUGGUUACUUCUGACACCAGCCAGGAGGAACAGACUUUUUCCCAUACAGCAGGUACCAGCAGAAGUACCUGAGCAAGAUCACCCUCAGCUCCUGCAGCCUCAGGGCACCCGAGUGUCCUGUCCACUGGGCAUUUGUUACGGACAAAGAUUUGUGUGGCCUUUCACUUUGCACGCUGAAGCUUAACCCUGGCUGCAACGGGACAGGGGGCCACCAAGGAAGUCAUUAAGGUUGACUGAGGUAUAGGGUGGUGCCCUGGUCGACAGGAUGGUGGCCUUAUGAGGACACUUAUAAGAUGGACGCCCACUUGUCCCCCGACCCCUCUGGCACA
This 1122-nucleotide small RNA is filed under the name Pan troglodytes (chimpanzee). RNAcentral describes it as "retained intron". The record is from RNAcentral. Lineage: Eukaryota; Metazoa; Chordata; Mammalia; Primates; Hominidae.